Molecule: long non-coding RNA, 1047 nt
Filed under: Vulpes vulpes (red fox)
Lineage: Eukaryota; Metazoa; Chordata; Mammalia; Carnivora; Canidae
Description: lncRNA (ENSVVUG00000020016.1)
Source: RNAcentral
GUUAGAUACAAAUUCAGAUACAACCUAGGAAGUUGUACUGAAGCAGCAACUGUGCAGGAGAGAGAGAGAGGCUAUGGCACACGUGGCGGAAUAUUUUCUUGGUUUUUACUAAGCCUCAAAUAACUGGAACUAAAAAAGAAAAGUGGCUAAGUAUCUAGAAACUGCUAGAUCACCUGAAGUUUAUCAAGUAGCUCUGCCCUCCCCCCUAAUACUGGGUUUAAAAAAAAACAAAACAAAAAACCUUCUAUAAGAUAUAUCUUCUUAAUGGUCUUUAAGAUUUUGGCAUGCUGAAUUCCAAAGUACGAUGCCCCAAAUAAUAAUGCUUCAGCAGCAACCUGUGAACAAGAACCAUCUCUCUGCUGGAAGUCUGUUUAUUUUGCUUGAAACAGAAGGAGGAAAGGCACUUUUGACUUGUGUUGCUUAACGGGUUAAACAAUGUGGCCUCAUUGAGAUGAAGCACAGAAAGGAAGAAUUUGACCAGAGAAUUUACAACUCAAGAAGAGCGAAAUUGAUUUCUUCCCUUUCAAAGCGGUUUCCUGAUUGCAAUCACAUAAAUUAAACCGGAGCCCCGAAGAAGUUGUGGGGACCGAGUAAUAAAUCUCCAAGAAGAGAUACGGGGAAUCCUUUGAACAUCUCGAGAAUAACGCAGUAAAAUGCAAACGGGAGGAGGACAGAGCGGGACAGAUGAAGAGGGUGGCGCUCCUCCCUCCGGGCAGAGAGGCAGCCUCCUAAUGCCGCUCAUGUGCUGUAGCAAGCAAGUUCAUAUAAGGACCACGUCACAUGUCUUUAAAAAAACGAAAAGAAGAAAACCAGGUGAUGUUCUGUUUGCACAUCUCCAGAUGGAGGUCGGGAGGGCUCGCCCUGGGUGGGGUCCCAGGACUCUCUGGCUCCAGCCCGGCCAUUCUCCAUGAGAGGAGAUGAGCUUAUUUCAUGGUUGGAAAGUAUAAAGGAGCAGAUGAAUCUCUGCAAGAUUAAAACUCGAUCUUCAGGAUGGUGGGUCCUCUCACCAAACUCCGUUGGCUCACACCACAUGGUUCUCUUUGUCCU